UCUCAACUGCAGUUCUCCCACAAAAACAAACAACAUCCAAACUUUUGCACAGAUGAAUGUGCAUAUUGUGUAAAGAAAAACAGAAGUGUUCCGCUGAUCACCGCUAUCCUGGGGGCGGAGCUGACAGUGCAGACUCUUCCUGGAAGGGGCGGUUCCCCACUUUGUGAUGUCACAAUGUCAGGAUCUGCUACCUUUUGUGGGUGGGGAGGGGCUGGUGCUCAGAGAUCAGGCUUUUAGAGGAUUACUCAGAAAAAGAGGGACCAAAUAUCGACACAGCGAACUAACAACACAUUCAACUCACCAACGAUUCCCGAUCCCCUCGUUUCCUUAAUCGUUUUUAAAACAUACAUCAUGGAAUUCCAUGGGGGGGCACUUCUCAUGAACAGUUUCACUCUCCGUCCUAACAUUUUAUUUCUUAAUUGGAGCUUUGUUUAUUACUUACCGUUAAAUGUAUGUUACUGUUACCAUAAAGAAACCAUAUGUAUUGAUAAUUUUAUUUUACUUUUUCAAAGGAAGUUAAACUAAAAUAUUGUUCAUAAAUUAUUCUAAACAGGAUGUUUACGGGAAAAUAAGAUAUAUAUUUCUAGAAAACCCAGUAAUAUAUUUUAGUGUCUAAGGUAAUAUUUUGAUUAUUGCAAUGUUUGUCCUAUUGAGUACUAUUUAAUUGGUAUUGAGAUUCACGAUAUUCAUGGUAUCAAAUAUUGCUGUUGGUUUUGAGAAACAUAAGUCUUGAAUCGCAUCGUAUCGGAGUGACCCUGACAUUCCCAGCCCGUCUCAGGAGCGCGUAAACAGAUCAAUGAACCGCGCUGGAGUUGUUAAAUAUUUAGUACACUUAAAUACCCCAAAAGGUAAUUUGCAAUUUAUAUAUACUUUAAGCUAUUAGGUUUUGAAGUUUGUUGUUUGAUUGUAAGUUUGUUUUUAUUUAAUUUGAAAUUGUUAGGUUUUGUUUCCAACUGUGUUUACAUUUGGAUCACGAAUCCUUAAUAAUAAAUUCUGUUCAAUGUUACUGAUUAUUAUUCCAAUUAACAGAACGGAGUCCUCUGUAAUCUCUGAUCUCUGAUCUCUGAUGCAGAUCUGAUCAUCACUGCUGAACCUGGAGAUGACGUCACUCUGAGAUGUGAAGAUACAAACAUCUACAAGGAUUUAUCUUUUGAGUGGACCAGACCUGACCUGCAGGAGAAAUAUGUGUUUAAAUACAGAAGUGGUGGUGAGGAUUCAGACGAUCAGCAUGAAUCCUUCAAGAACCGAGUGUCUCUGGAUCAGAUGAAGGAUGGAGAUCUGUCUGUGGUUCUGAAGAAUGUGACCAUUAAUGACACUGGAAUAUAUCAGUGUAGAGUCAAACAACAAAAUGAUCCACAGAGAGAGAUGAGUCUGAUCUCCACCAUCCAUCUGCAGGUGUCUCUACCUCCUCCAGGAGAGAAAGGAGGAGGGAGAGGAGACAAAGAUGGAGAGAACAAGGAUGGAGACAGUCAUGGUCAUCUUGGACUAAUACCUCUGUCAGGUCUUCUUCUUGCUGUUCUGGCUCUUGUUGUUGGUUUCUGGAUUAACAAGAAGAAAAAAGGUUCAAGAGGUUCCAACAACCAGCAGAAUCCUGAACAUGAUCCUCUGAACUCAGAUUCUAACACAGAGAGAAACACAACAACCAUUUAACCUGCGGUCUGAAGUUCUAAAGUUCUGAACUGGAGCUUCUCUGCAGGUCAAAGUCUAAAACAUUUCUGAUUCAAAAUCCAAAGAAGAACCAGAGGUUUGUCAUUGGAACCUCCAGCCUCCAGUGGAUGAACUGUUCCAGUUGUUCAAAGUGUCUCCUCAUCUGAGUAAAGCUGGAUGUUCCUGAAGUGAAGAAAGGUGGAGAUCAGCUACCAUGUCAGCUGCAGCUGCUGAUGUGUUCUCUGGUGUUGAUCUGCUGCUUUGGUCUCCAUGAAUGCUGCCUCUCCUUUCUAACAUCAACCUGAACAUCUUCCUGCCUCCUGACCACCUUCCUGCUGCUGUUCUGAAGAUGGAGUCUUCACAGGUCAAUCCUUUCAUUCUGAACCUGCAGGUUCUGGUUCUGCAGGUUCUGGUUCUGACCCAACAGGAUCAGUUUGUACAGAAUCAGUGACUGUUCCAUCACUGCAGUAGAUCUUCAUGUUUGUUCUAGAAGAGAUUCAAGACAAUAAAACGUUCUCA
Molecule: long non-coding RNA, 2166 nt
Organism: Oryzias melastigma (Indian medaka)
Lineage: Eukaryota; Metazoa; Chordata; Actinopteri; Beloniformes; Adrianichthyidae
Exons: 2
Source: RefSeq, a predicted model, not a curated record